This 684-nucleotide ribosomal RNA is filed under the name Eidophelus coccotrypanoides. RNAcentral describes it as "Scolytogenes coccotrypanoides partial large subunit ribosomal RNA". It matches the Rfam family "Eukaryotic large subunit ribosomal RNA", at positions 400 to 850 of the family's 3401-position model. Lineage: Eukaryota; Metazoa; Arthropoda; Insecta; Coleoptera; Curculionidae. The record is from RNAcentral.
UGAAACCGUUUAGGGGUAAACCUGAGAAACCCGAAAGGUCGAAGGGAGAAAUUCAUUCGCGUUUCGAGGCAGGCUUCGUUCGGUUCGUUGACGGAAGGCGCACGUUCGCGCGCGUAUUCCGCUCUUACAGUUCGAAGAUCCGGCAACGAACGCGUGCACUUUUCUCCUGGUAGGACGUCGCGAUCCGUUGGGUGUCGGUUUACGAUUUCGAGUGGAGCCCGUCGGUUUACCCGACGGACCUCGUUAUCUAACCUACUCGCUCGACGGUAUAAGAAAGGUUCGAGGCCGCUCUCGGAGCGUUCGACCUGUGGCAAGCACGUUACGCCCGUCGGUGAUCGGACCUAGUGCCGAUUCUGACAGCUAACGUCUGUUGGCCGCAGAUGUUCUCGGACAGACCUCUCGUAACCGAUCGGCGACGCUAUAGCUUUGGGUACUUUCAGGACCCGUCUUGAAACACGGACCAAGGAGUCUAGCAUGUGCGCGAGUCAUUGGGAAUCACUAAACCUAAAGGCGCAAUGAAAGUAAAGGUCUUCCUUGCGGAGACCGAGGGAAGACGGGCGGUUCGGCCUUAAAACCGGCCGCUCUGCAUUCCCGGGGCGUCUCGUUCUCAUCGCGAGAAGAGGCGCACCAAGAGCGUACACGCUGGGACCCGAAAGAUGGUGAACUAUGCCUGGUCAGGACGAA